Molecule: ribosomal RNA, 253 nt
Filed under: uncultured bacterium
Lineage: Bacteria
Description: partial 16S ribosomal RNA
Rfam family: Bacterial small subunit ribosomal RNA
Source: RNAcentral
UACGUAGGGACCAAGCGUUGUUCGGAUUUACUGGGCGUAAAGGGCGCGUAGGCGGCGUGUUAAGUCACUUGUGAAAUCUCUAAGCUUAACUUAGAACGGUCAAGUGAUACUGAUGUGCUAGAGUGCAGAAGGGGCAACCGGAAUUCUUGGUGUAGCGGUGAAAUGCGUAGAUAUCAAGAGGAACACCUGAGGUGAAGACGGGUUGCUGGGCUGACACUGACGCUGAGGCGCGAAAGCUAGGGUAGAAAACGGG